GUGCUAUAUGAAAGGAGAAAAGGUUAGCACUCCCCUUGACAAGGGCCGAAUGGCCUCUGGGCCUAAACACAUAUAUACUCUGUUUUAGCAUAGAGUAAAACAUUGU
Molecule: non-coding RNA, 106 nt
Filed under: Stegodyphus mimosarum
Lineage: Eukaryota; Metazoa; Arthropoda; Arachnida; Araneae; Eresidae
Source: RNAcentral